Molecule: ribosomal RNA, 253 nt
Filed under: uncultured bacterium
Lineage: Bacteria
Description: partial 16S ribosomal RNA
Rfam family: Bacterial small subunit ribosomal RNA
Source: RNAcentral
UACGUAGGGGGCGAGCGUUGUCCGGAAUUACUGGGCGUAAAGAGCGCGCAGGCGGUCGUUCAAGUCGAGUGUGAAAGCCCCCGGCUCAACUGGGGAGGGUCACUCGAUACUGAUCGACUUGAAGGCAGGAGAGGGAAGCGGAAUUCCCGGUGUAGUGGUGAAAUGCGUAGAUAUCGGGAGGAACACCAGUGGCGAAGGCGGCUUCCUGGCCUGUUCUUGACGCUGAGGCGCGAAAGCUAGGGGAGCAAACGGG